CCUACGGGUGGCAGCAGUGAGGAAUAUUGGUCAAUGGACGAGAGUCUGAACCAGCCAAGUAGCGUGAAGGAUGACUGCCCUAUGGGUUGUAAACUUCUUUUAUAUGGGAAUAAAAUGUUCCACGUGUGGGAUUUUGUAUGUACCAUAUGAAUAAGGAUCGGCUAACUCCGUGCCAGCAGCCGCGGUAAUACGGAGGAUCCGAGCGUUAUCCGGAUUUAUUGGGUUUAAAGGGAGCGUAGGUGGAUUGUUAAGUCAGUUGUGAAAGUUUGCGGCUCAACCGUAAAAUUGCAGUUGAAACUGGCAGUCUUGAGUACAGUAGAGGUGGGCGGAAUUCGUGGUGUAGCGGUGAAAUGCUUAGAUAUCACGAAGAACUCCGAUUGCGAAGGCAGUUCACUGGACUGCCACUGACACUGAGGCUCGAAAGUGUGGGUAUCAAACAGGAUUAGAUACCCUAGUAGUC
This 460-nucleotide ribosomal RNA is filed under the name uncultured bacterium. Its description in RNAcentral is "partial 16S ribosomal RNA". It matches the Rfam family "Bacterial small subunit ribosomal RNA", at positions 338 to 795 of the family's 1533-position model. The record is from RNAcentral.